This 336-nucleotide unclassified non-coding RNA is filed under the name uncultured fungus. RNAcentral's name for it is "partial contains small subunit ribosomal RNA, internal transcribed spacer 1, and 5.8S ribosomal RNA". The stretch from base 1 to 73 matches the Rfam family "Eukaryotic small subunit ribosomal RNA", at positions 1759 to 1831 of the family's 1831-position model. Lineage: Eukaryota; Fungi. The record is from RNAcentral.
ACAAACUUGGUCAUUUAGAGGAAGUAAAAGUCGUAACAAGGUCUCCGUUGGUGAACCAGCGGAGGGAUCAUUACCGAGUUUACAACUCCCAAACCCAAUGUGAACGUUACCAAACCGUUGCCUCGGCGGGAUCUCUGCCCCGGGCGCGUCGCAGCCCCGGACCAAGGCGCCCGCCGGAGGACCAACCAAAACUCUCAUCGCACGACCCCCUCGCGGGUUGUUCUUUUUCUUCCUUACUAUCUGAGCCGCCUCGGCGCCCCCUCGCGGGCGUUUCGAAAAUGAAUCAAAACUUUCAACAACGGAUCUCUUGGUUCUGGCAUCGAUGAAGAACGCAGC